CGCGUGCACUGAUCCGGCCGGGCCUUUCCCUCUGUGGAACCCCAUGGCCUUCACUGGCUGUGCGGGGGAAACAGGACUUUUACUGUGAAAAAAUUAGAGUGCUCCAGGCAGGCCUAUGCUCGAAUACAUUAGCAUGGAAUAAUAGAAUAGGACGCGUGGUUCUAUUUUGUUGGUUUCUAGGACCGCCGUAAUGAUUAAUAGGGACAGUCGGGGGCAUCAGUAUUCAAUUGUCAGAGGUGAAAUUCUUGGAUCUAUUGAAGACUAACUACUGCGAAAGCAUUUGCCAAGGAUGUUUUCAUUGAUAAGGAACGAAAGUUAGGGGAUCGAAGACGAUCAGAUACCGUCGUAGUCUUAACUAUAAACUAUGCCGACUAGGGAUCGGACGAUGUUAUUUCUUGACGCGUUCGGCACCUUUCGAGAAACCAAAGUGCUUGGGCUCCAGGGGGAGUAUGGUCGCAAGGCUGAAACUUAAAGAAAUUGACGGAAGGGCACCACCAGGGGUGGAACCUGCGGCUUAAUUUGACUCAACACGGGGAAACUCACCAGGUCCAGACACAGUGAGGAUUGACAGAUUGAGAGCUCUUUCUUGAUUCUGUGGGUGGUGGUGCAUGGCCGUUCUUAGUUGGUGGAGUGAUUUGUCUGCUUAAUUGCGAUAACGAACGAGACCUUAACCUGCUAAAUAGCCCGUACUGCUCUGGCAGUUCGCCGGCUUCUUAGAGGGACUAUCGG
RNAcentral lists this ribosomal RNA (729 nucleotides) under uncultured eukaryote. RNAcentral's name for it is "SSU rRNA". It matches the Rfam family "Eukaryotic small subunit ribosomal RNA", at positions 670 to 1426 of the family's 1831-position model. The record is from RNAcentral.